UACGAAGGGGGCUAGCGUUGCUCGGAAUCACUGGGCGUAAAGCGCACGUAGGCGGGUCUUUAAGUCAGGGGUGAAAUCCCGGAGCUCAACUCCGGAACUGCCUUUGAUACUGGAGAUCUUGAGUCCGGGAGAGGUGAGUGGAACUCCGAGUGUAGAGGUGAAAUUCGUAGAUAUUCGGAAGAACACCAGUGGCGAAGGCGGGUCACUGGCCCGGUACUGACGCUGAGGUGCGAAAGCGUGGGGAGCAAACAGG
This 253-nucleotide ribosomal RNA is filed under the name uncultured bacterium. RNAcentral describes it as "partial 16S ribosomal RNA". It matches the Rfam family "Bacterial small subunit ribosomal RNA", at positions 524 to 776 of the family's 1533-position model. The record is from RNAcentral.